CUCCCAUCUUGUGAGCUGUUGAGGGAGAACAACCACAGGCUACAGAGGGAAAAUGAUUCUCUCAAGGCAAAAAUAGCAACAUUGAAAUUGCUGCCAGACGUUUUGCAGAAGAUGGAGGAGUUUCUUCGCUCAGCACCAAGACCAACGACAACACCAAUACCAACACCAACACCAAGACCAAGACCAAGACCAAGACCAGAACCAACACUAUCACCAGCACCAACAGCAGUUCCACCACCAGCAACAGAAGACCCAUCACCAGCUCCAGGUCCAUCAUCAGCAACAGAGGCCCUGGGCCACUCUGUCAUUCCAAAAGGACUUGUGGACGCUGCUCCUUCCAAAGCCCCCAGAAGUUCAUAAAUCAUCUCCUACAUGGGAUGUAUACCAGGGAUUAUAUGGCAGGCCAUUCAGUGACUGGCCAGUCAUCCAGCAGCUGCACAGAAGGAAAACCUGGCCUAGCCAAACAGGACCUUGUUGAAAUAACAAAUGCUGCAAAGUUGAAGUUCACCUACGUAACUGAUACGAACAUAAAAGCAUUUAUACGACAAAAGCUGAACAAUGCUGCCAAAUUUCAGAAACAAUAAAUUAUCAACUGUUUAAAGAAAGUUAAA
Long non-coding RNA from Gadus morhua (Atlantic cod), 611 nucleotides. RefSeq lists it as uncharacterized. The transcript is spliced from 4 exons. NCBI's taxonomy places the organism in Eukaryota, Metazoa, Chordata, Actinopteri, Gadiformes, Gadidae. The record is from RefSeq and is a predicted model, not a curated record.